AUUGAACGCUGGCGGCAUGCCUUACACAUGCAAGUCGAACGGCAGCACGGGGGCAACCCUGGUGGCGAGUGGCGAACGGGUGAGUAAUGCAUCGGAACGUGCCCAGUAGUGGGGGAUAACUAGUCGAAAGAUUAGCUAAUACCGCAUACGACCUAUGGGUGAAAGCGGGGGAUUCGCAAGAACCUCGCGCUAUCGGAGCGGCCGAUGUCUGAUUAGCUAGUUGGCGGGGUAAAAGCCCACCAAGGCUUCGAUCAGUAGCUGGUCUGAGAGGACGACCAGCCACACUGGGACUGAGACACGGCCCAGACUCC
Molecule: ribosomal RNA, 311 nt
Filed under: uncultured bacterium
Lineage: Bacteria
Description: bacterial SSU rRNA
Rfam family: Bacterial small subunit ribosomal RNA
Source: RNAcentral